CUGGCCUUGAUCUUGAGGUGAUCUUCCUGCCUCAGCCUACUGAGUGCUGGGAUUACAGGCAUGCACCACUAUACCUGGCAAGCCACUACUCAUUAUGUAGCCCAUACUGGCUUUGAACUUGUACUCCUGAUGCCUCAGGUUCCCAAGAGCUGGUAUUACAGACACUUCCAGAUGUACCCUGUUCUGAGAAGACUUGGAUCAUAGUACAGCCUGUCCUGUGUCAAAUAGGUGAACACGACUUCUGCUAAGACUUGUGCUUGAGGGUCUGUGCUGUAUGGCCUCACUUAAUAAAAUUUGUAUUAGCACACAUCACUGAGCAAAUGACUCCCUUUAUUUAUAUGACACAUGGAGACUAGCAAUAGGUGACACAAGUAUGGACUACUUUCGCUUCAGUGAAGUUACACUGUUGAUUGAUUGACUGAUUUUUGGACACAGGGUGUCACUAUGUAGCC
Molecule: long non-coding RNA, 452 nt
Organism: Heterocephalus glaber (naked mole-rat)
Lineage: Eukaryota; Metazoa; Chordata; Mammalia; Rodentia; Bathyergidae
Source: RefSeq, a predicted model, not a curated record